CGCUAAACACCACUAGCGCCAACCGCCAGACAGCACUCCACAACCGCUGACCGAGCCUCACCCUUCACCGCUGGGGCAUCACCAAGCACCACCGCUAGCCUAGCUUAGCCGGAUAACCUCCGCUAGCCUGCCUCCACCAGACAAACGUCGCUAGCCAACCCGCUAGACCGGCCUCUGCUUUCCAUGCACCGCUAACCAUACUCCGCUUCAAUCUUUGGCGGAUAAAUGAACUUCAAUUGGUAGCGGAGCUUCGAUCCUCGUGGAUGAGCUUCAAUCUUCCGGUUACCCGCCAGAGGCUCUUUGCCGCACACCAAAGUCUUCUCUUCAAUUGCCAUCAAUUGAAGCCAUUAGUUGUCGAUAAUCAGCCAUGCAUUAGCGUCAUCCAUGAUGAGUCGUUUGGGCUCAACUUCUUCUUCGGGCACCUACUGGGAAUUUCUCUGAUUUGAACGCCUGCCUUCUUCACUGAUUCCCUCUGCAGCAAAGCCAGCCGAAAGAUAAGUCUUCCUAUCAUUUUCUUUGGUACGCACGUGCCUACG
This 536-nucleotide long non-coding RNA is filed under the name Rosa chinensis. RNAcentral's name for it is "sRNA RchiOBHm_Chr1g0357431". Lineage: Eukaryota; Viridiplantae; Streptophyta; Magnoliopsida; Rosales; Rosaceae. The record is from RNAcentral.